CCUACGGGAGGCAGCAGUAGGGAAUAUUGCUCAAUGGGGGAAACCCUGAAGCAGCAACGCCGCGUGGAGGAUGAAGGUUUUCGGAUUGUAAACUCCUUUUGUUAGAGAAGAUAAUGACGGUACCUAACGAAUAAGCACCGGCUAACUACGUGCCAGCAGCCGCGGUAAUACGGAGGGUGCAAGCGUUAUCCGGAAUCACUGGGCGUAAAGAGCGCGUAGGCGGGAUAGCAAGUCAGAUGUGAAAUCCGAUGGCUUAACCAUAGAACUGCAUUUGAAACUGUUAUUCUAGAGUAGGGGAGAGGUAGGUGGAAUUCUUUGUGUAGGCGUAGAAUCCGUAGAGAUCAAGAAGAAUACUGAUUGCGAAGGCAGCCUGCUAGAACUUAACUGACGCUGAUGCGCGAAAGCGUGGGGAGCGAACAGGAUUAGAUACCCGGGUAGUC
This 440-nucleotide ribosomal RNA is filed under the name uncultured bacterium. Its description in RNAcentral is "partial 16S ribosomal RNA". It matches the Rfam family "Bacterial small subunit ribosomal RNA", at positions 338 to 795 of the family's 1533-position model. The record is from RNAcentral.